CACAAGUGGUGGAGCAUGUGGUUUAAUUCGAAGAUACACGAAGAACCUUACCUGGCCUUGACAUGGUAGGAACCCUUAAGAGAUUAGGGGGUGCUAGCUUGCUAGAACCUACACACAGGUGCUGCACGGCUGUCGUCAGCUCGUGUCGUGAGAUGUUGGGUUAAGUCCCGCAACGAGCGCAACCCUCGUCCUUAGUUGCUAACAGUUCGGCUGAGCACUCUAGGGAGACUGCCUUCGCAAGGAGGAGGAAGGUGAGGACGACGUCAAGUCAUCAUGGCCCUUACGGCCAGGGCUACACACGUGCUACAAUGGGGCGUACAGAGAGCUGCGAUACCGCGAGGUGGAGCCAAUCUCUUAAAGCGUCUCUCAGUUCGGAUUGUUCUCUGCAACUCGGGAACAUGAAGCUGGAAUCACUAGUAAUCGCAGAUCAGCAUGCCGCGGUGAAUACGUUCCCGGGCCUU
Molecule: ribosomal RNA, 461 nt
Filed under: uncultured Sulfuricurvum sp.
Lineage: Bacteria; Pseudomonadati; Campylobacterota; Epsilonproteobacteria; Campylobacterales; Sulfurimonadaceae
Description: bacterial SSU rRNA
Rfam family: Bacterial small subunit ribosomal RNA
Source: RNAcentral